Molecule: ribosomal RNA, 459 nt
Filed under: uncultured bacterium
Lineage: Bacteria
Description: partial 16S ribosomal RNA
Rfam family: Bacterial small subunit ribosomal RNA
Source: RNAcentral
CCUACGGGUGGCAGCAGUGAGGAAUAUUGGUCAAUGGCCGAGAGGCUGAACCAGCCAAGUCGCGUGAGGGAAGAAUGUCCUAGGGAUUGUAAACCUCUUUCGUCAGGGAGCAAAGUCACCCACGUGUGGGGGUUGGAGAGUACUUGAAGAAAAAGCAUCAGCUAACUCUGUGCCAGAAGCCGCGGUAAUAAGGAGGAUGCGAGGGUUAUCCGGAUUUUUUGGGUUUAAAGGGUGCGUAGGCGGGUUAUCAAGUCAGCGGUAAAAUCGUGGAGCUCAACUCCAUCCAGCCGUUGAAACUGAUGUUCUUGAGUGGGCGAGAAGUAUGCGGAAUGCGGGGUGUAGCGGUGAAAUGCGUAGAUAUCACGAAGAACUCCGAUUGCGAAGGCAGCAUACCGGCGCCCGACUGACGCUGAAGCACGAAAGCGUGGGUAUCGAACAGGAUUAGAUACCCGAGUAGUC